GGCUGGUCCGAUGGAAGUGGGUUAUCAGAACUUAUUAACAUUAGUGUCACUAAAGUUGGUAUUCAACCCCUCCACUGCUAAAUUUGACUGGCUUUUU
Molecule: unclassified non-coding RNA, 97 nt
Organism: Microcebus murinus (gray mouse lemur)
Lineage: Eukaryota; Metazoa; Chordata; Mammalia; Primates; Cheirogaleidae
Rfam family: Y RNA
About the family: Y RNAs are components of the Ro ribonucleoprotein particle (Ro RNP), in association with Ro60 and La proteins.
Source: Ensembl